GACGAACGCUGGCGGCGUGCUUAACACAUGCAAGUCGAGCGGUAAGGCCCUUUCGGGGGUACACGAGCGGCGAACGGGUGAGUAACACGUGGGUGACCUGCCCUCAGCUCUGGGAUAAGCCUAGGGAAACCGGGUCUAAUACCGGAUAUGACUCCAUGACGCAUGUUGUGGGGUGGAAAGCCUUGUGCGGCUGAGGAUGGGCCCGCGGCCUAUCAGCUUGUUGGUGGGGUGANGGCCUACCAAGGCGACGACGGGUAGCCGGCCUGAGAGGGCGACCGGCCACACUGGGACUGAGACACGGCCCAGACUCCGUACGGGAGGCAGCAGGUGGGGAAUCUUGCGCAAGUGGGACGAAAGCCUGACGCAGCGACGCCGCGUGA
This 380-nucleotide ribosomal RNA is filed under the name uncultured bacterium. Its description in RNAcentral is "bacterial SSU rRNA". It matches the Rfam family "Bacterial small subunit ribosomal RNA", at positions 28 to 404 of the family's 1533-position model. The record is from RNAcentral.